UAUGUUAAACCAUCCUGGCACUGCUGUGAUAAAUUCCACUUGAUCAAGGCUUUCAAGCUUUCAUUUUAAAAAUACAAAGUGCAUCACCCCAGUCCUGACGUGAGAGAGCAAAACUAACAUUGUUGCUAAAAAUCAAUGCUAAACCUGCCAAGUAUAAUUUUUUUGGUGUUUUAGUAUUGAGGCAUUUUUUCUUACAUGUCUCAUGAGUAUAUCUUUGUUUCAACCUAAAUGCCAUAAAAUAUUUUUCUUGUUAAAAAUAUUGUAAAGAGAUUUCUGUGACUGUAAAUAGCACCAUGGUUUUUUUGACCUCUAAAUAAAAA
RNAcentral lists this long non-coding RNA (320 nucleotides) under Homo sapiens (human). Its description in RNAcentral is "HSALNT0057063". The record is from RNAcentral. Lineage: Eukaryota; Metazoa; Chordata; Mammalia; Primates; Hominidae.